ACUACACGAAGCUGGAAUCGCUAGUAAUCGCGAAUCAGAAUGUCGCGGUGAAUACGUUCCCCGGGUCUUGUACACACCGCCCGUCACACCAUGGGAGUCGGGAAUGCCCGAAGUCAGUGACCCAACCUUUGGAGGGAGCUGCCGAAGGCAGGUCUGAUAACUGGGGUGAAGUCGUAACAAGGUAGC
Molecule: ribosomal RNA, 186 nt
Filed under: uncultured bacterium
Lineage: Bacteria
Description: partial 16S ribosomal RNA
Rfam family: Bacterial small subunit ribosomal RNA
Source: RNAcentral